CUAGGCUUGACAUCCCUUUGCAAAGCCCUUAACCGGGCUCCUCUUGUUCGCAAGACAAAGGUGACAGGUGGUGCAUGGUUGUCGUCAGCUCGUGUCGUGAGAUGUUGGGUUAAGUCCCGCAACGAGCGCAACCCCUAUUUUUAGUUGCCAUCAGUUCGGCUGGGCACUCUAGAAAGACUGCCGAGGACAACUCGGAGGAAGGUGGGGAUGACGUCAAAUCAUCAUGCCCCUUAUGCUUAGGGCUACACACGUGCUACAAUGGCUGUUACAAAGGGCUGCGAGACCGCGAGGUGGAGCCAAUCCCAUAAAAACAGUCUAAGUUCGGAUUGUAGGCUGAAACUCGCCUACAUGAA
Molecule: ribosomal RNA, 353 nt
Filed under: uncultured bacterium
Lineage: Bacteria
Description: bacterial SSU rRNA
Rfam family: Bacterial small subunit ribosomal RNA
Source: RNAcentral